Molecule: ribosomal RNA, 349 nt
Filed under: uncultured Desulfovibrio sp.
Lineage: Bacteria; Pseudomonadati; Thermodesulfobacteriota; Desulfovibrionia; Desulfovibrionales; Desulfovibrionaceae
Description: bacterial SSU rRNA
Rfam family: Bacterial small subunit ribosomal RNA
Source: RNAcentral
GGUAGGCUGCAUGCGUGUCGUCAGCUCGUGCCGUGAGGUGUUCGGGUUAAGUCCCGCAACGAGCGCAACCCCUAUUGCCAGUUGCUACCAGGUAAUGCUGGGCACUCUGGUGAGACUGCCCCGGUUAACGGGGAGGAAGGUGGGGACGACGUCAAGUCAUCAUGGCCCUUACGCCUAGGGCUACACACGUACUACAAUGGCGCAUACAAAGGGCAGCGAUACCGCGAGGUGGAGCCAAUCCCAAAAAGUGCGUCCCAGUCCGGAUUGCAGUCUGCAACUCGACUGCAUGAAGUUGGAAUCGCUAGUAAUUCGAGAUCAGCAUGCUCGGGUGAAUGCGUUCCCGGGCCUU